GGGAGAGAGAGAGGGAUAAGUGAGAAAGAACAAAAAGAAGAUCCUUCAGUACUUCCCCUAUCAUUUCCGUUUUCACUUGUUGGUUGGUCGGUUUUGCCUUCCUCCGCCUUUAUCUCAUUUUAUGUCACUUUCCCUCUCCA
Molecule: microRNA precursor, 140 nt
Filed under: Trypanosoma vivax Y486
Lineage: Eukaryota; Euglenozoa; Kinetoplastea; Trypanosomatida; Trypanosomatidae
Source: RNAcentral